Molecule: long non-coding RNA, 1703 nt
Organism: Lolium perenne
Lineage: Eukaryota; Viridiplantae; Streptophyta; Magnoliopsida; Poales; Poaceae
Source: RefSeq, a predicted model, not a curated record
AAUACAUAUUGUUACACGAGGAAAAACGAAAUUUGGAACCACCCCUUAUGGAAAUUAUCAAGAACAACACCAGGGUUCUAUGUUUGGUAGUUCUCCUGAUGUCUGCCACUUCAUUGGCAUGUGAUGCAGCUCGGGGCAAUGAAGGCACAACUAGGGAGGACUAUAUGUGUGGAAGCUUUUUAUCUUGCAACAAGCCACACCCAACGCCAGACGAUUAUCGUUUUUGCAAGCUUAACUGUAAAUGGCUUGGUCAUAGCUUCGAUGAGAGCUUCUGCAACUACCAUGGAGAGUGUUGCUGCCGUAUUUUGAAUGCUAACUAGAUGCAUGGAUACUAUUGAUUGUUACGCGCCCAAUGCUUGUGCUUGCAAGGGAUGGCGAAUUUCAAUAAAUUACACUCCAAGUUUGUUUUGGCUUGACUUUGCAGCUUUAUUUCUUCUUUCGUCCGUGAAUCGCAAUCAAUUCAAGCCUCUUCGCCGUACAAAAAAUAGGAAGUUACUAUUGAACAGCUGCCUGUUUUUAAAUUUGGAAACAGACACAUUUUAUAGCCUGUAAGAAUAUGCCAAGUGUAUCACUCGAAAAUAUUAAAAAGAACGAGAAAACUGUAUGUUUUCAGUUUCACCAAACAGACACAUUUCGGCCUCUUCCCUCACCCCAACAUUGAGUUGCAACGGCUGUUUUCAGUCCAGUAUUCCGUUAUCAAUCUUCAACAGAGACUUCUUCCUGAGCUUACUCUUGGGGGUGAGUGUUAUGUCCUCUCUAUAAGAAGUUUACUGGGUUUGAUACCCGACUUUUCCCCUGCGGAGAUUUCAGCCCCUGUGCUGCCCGUCCUUGCUUCUUCCUCCAGCUCCCACAGCCGGCUCCUCUCCCCCUCGUCGCCGGUGGCCAUGGUGGCCGGCGAUGGGUGGGAAGGGGGUUUGGCUUUUAAUAGCUGUAGGUUUACUUCUCCGUUUCUUCUCCCUGGCGAAUAAUAAGGAGGCAGUCGGAUCAAGAUCCGACUCUGAACUGCACCCAAUCAUUCUUUCGUUUGGCCAUAUCUGUAAGGUGGAAGAUUGGUGUGCGUCUAGGGCCGAAUCCCAUGCCGGCACCCCUUGGCCAAGUCCAUGGCGAGGUACUGCUUCGGCUACCUCUGCUCCCACUCCUUUGCCCCCUUUUCUUUUCUUCAAUAAAUCUUUGCAGGCGACCAUGGAUACCCCGGUUUAUGCUACUGGUUUGGGGAUUGGGUUGCUGCAUCGUGCUGCUUGUUUUCCUGGAGUUCCUCAGCAGGGGACUUGUGACGGUUGGAGCUGUCUUGCCUCUGCUUCCCAUGGCCGAAAGGCGGCCCUCCACCCUCGAGCUCAUCACAUGGCUGACCUGAGUGUCGCCAUGAUCUGCGGCCUUCUUGAUGGCCACUUCUAUCGCUGCUUCGACGGCGCUACCUCAACCUCCAAGACGGAGGCCCUUGAUGGAGUCCUUGGCUGGCGCUACACUCCUCCUAGCCACCAAGUGGUUCGUCCCCGGUUGCUGGUUGCAGGAGGCCGGAUGCGAGACUCCGACGACAUCGACAACGGUGGAGAAGACUUUGCACUUGAUUGCUUUCUAAUUUUAUUAGCAGGGUCUUUCUGUUAAAUUCCAAGGACCAGUUUCUAUUUUCUUUCUUGCAUUGUCCUUGUUGUAAAAUGUACCCACCGUCUUUUAUAAUAUAAUGCAGCAUCUGGGGUCUUCUA